GUCUUCGUGGCGCAGUUGGCUAGCGCGUCAGUCUCGUCAUCUGAAGGUCGUGAGUUCGAGCCUCACCGAGGACA
Molecule: non-coding RNA, 74 nt
Organism: Cladobotryum mycophilum
Lineage: Eukaryota; Fungi; Ascomycota; Sordariomycetes; Hypocreales; Hypocreaceae
Source: the annotation of a GenBank genome assembly